GUUCGACAAGACUUGGUCAUCCACCUUGGCCUUAAGAGCACUCGUCGAAAUUUAUCACCGCUUCAUGCGGAAUUUAACUCUUUGUUAUAGGCAAUGGAGUGCAUGAUCUCUAUUGGUGAUACUUCUGGUACUUUUGCUUCGGAUUGCUCAGACUUGAUUGCUAUCCUUGAUAACCAAGACGAUUGGCUGACUUUUGCAGCGGAAUUGGCUUCAUAUCGUUCUUUAGUUUGUUUUUUCCCUUCUUUUCGUAUUAGAUUUCUUUCUCGUAGUUCUAAUACUCGAGCAGAUUGUUUAGCUAAGAAAGCUCGGGCUCGCAAUAGCCUUUUUUCCCAUGUAAGCACAUUGGUUCCUAAAUGGCUCUCUCUAGCGGAGAGUCUCUUCCCGAUAACUUAAUAUAAAUGGUGUUUGAAGAAAAAAA
RNAcentral lists this small RNA (418 nucleotides) under Arabidopsis thaliana (thale cress). Its description in RNAcentral is "ATSL108430". The record is from RNAcentral. Lineage: Eukaryota; Viridiplantae; Streptophyta; Magnoliopsida; Brassicales; Brassicaceae.